This 448-nucleotide ribosomal RNA is filed under the name uncultured bacterium. Its description in RNAcentral is "bacterial SSU rRNA". It matches the Rfam family "Bacterial small subunit ribosomal RNA", at positions 28 to 477 of the family's 1533-position model. The record is from RNAcentral.
GAUGAACGCUGGCGGCGUGCUUAACACAUGCAAGUCGAACGGGAAUUACUUUAUUGAAACUUCGGUCGAUUUAAUUUAAUUCUAGUGGCGGACGGGUGAGUAACGCGUGGGUAACCUGCCUUGUACAGGGGGAUAACAGUCAGAAAUGACUGCUAAUACCGCAUAAGCGCACAGGACCGCAUGGUCCGGUGUGAAAAACUCCGGUGGUAUAAGAUGGACCCGCGUUGGAUUAGCUUGUUGGUGGGGUAACGGCCCACCAAGGCGACGAUCCAUAGCCGGCCUGAGAGGGUGAACGGCCACAUUGGGACUGAGACACGGCCCAGACUCCUACGGGAGGCAGCAGUGGGGAAUAUUGCACAAUGGGGGAAACCCUGAUGCAGCGACGCCGCGUGAAGGAAGAAGUAUCUCGGUAUGUAAACUUCUAUCAGCAGGGAAGAAAAUGACGGUA